GCCGAAGUGGCGGAACUGGUAGACGCGCUGGAUUCAAAAUUUGUUGCCUUCUGGCGUAGGGGUUCGAGCCCCCUCUUCGGUACCA
RNAcentral lists this transfer RNA (85 nucleotides) under compost metagenome. RNAcentral describes it as "tRNA-Leu". It matches the Rfam family "tRNA". Rfam says of the family: Transfer RNA (tRNA) molecules are approximately 80 nucleotides in length. Their secondary structure includes four short double-helical elements and three loops (D, anti-codon, and T loops). Further hydrogen bonds mediate the characteristic L-shaped molecular structure. tRNAs have two regions of fundamental functional importance: the anti-codon, which is responsible for specific mRNA codon recognition, and the 3' end, to which the tRNAs corresponding amino acid is attached (by aminoacyl-tRNA synthetases). tRNAs cope with the degeneracy of the genetic code in two manners: having more than one tRNA (with a specific anti-codon) for a particular amino acid; and 'wobble' base-pairing, i.e. permitting non-standard base-pairing at the 3rd anti-codon position. The record is from RNAcentral.